Molecule: ribosomal RNA, 253 nt
Filed under: uncultured bacterium
Lineage: Bacteria
Description: partial 16S ribosomal RNA
Rfam family: Bacterial small subunit ribosomal RNA
Source: RNAcentral
UACGGAGGGUGCAAGCGUUAUCCGGAUUCACUGGGUUUAAAGGGUGCGUAGGUGGGUUGGUAAGUCAGUGGUGAAAUCUCCGUGCUUAACAUGGAAACUGCCAUUGAUACUACUGAUCUUGAAUUUUCUGGAGGUAAGCGGAAUAUGUCAUGUAGCGGUGAAAUGCUUAGAUAUGACAUAGAACACCAAUUGCGAAGGCAGCUUACUGCAGGGACAUUGACACUGAGGCACGAAAGCGUGGGGAUCAAACAGG